CUUUUCUCAUCCUGUGGGAUUUUUGCAGAUACUCUGUAGAAUAACUGCAGCUCUUGGCUGUUGGUUUGAGGCUUUUCCAUCCCUUGGGCCUGGUGGUGAUGUUGUUAGUGUGUGAGGAGAGCUUGCAGCAAGCAGGGAAAGGGCCUGGAGCCCCUCGCAGCACUCUGCUUUCUGGGGAGAAAGGUCUCCAAAUAUUAGUGGCAGAGCCCAGUCGAAGGGGAUUUCCUUUGGAAGGACUGGGCAAAGUGGAUUAGUUCAGGGUGAGGGAAGGCACGAAGAGAAGGCGGAGGUCCUGCUCGCUCACAUGGCAAAUAAGCCCACGGCGACUGUGGUGGCGAUGAAGCCGAGCGCCAGGAGCCACCGCACCAGGGGAGAGGUGGUCAGCAUGUCUGCCUGCAUCCUGCUUGUCCUCUCACUCUCCUUCCCAGCUGCUGGACCGUUUUCAUGCGAUUUGUUAACACUCCUUGUGCGAAGCUCUGCCUUUGGCUGUACAGCAUGACCGUUCUCCUGGCUCUUGGACACCAGCUUCUGC
RNAcentral lists this long non-coding RNA (532 nucleotides) under Gallus gallus (chicken). The record is from RNAcentral. Lineage: Eukaryota; Metazoa; Chordata; Aves; Galliformes; Phasianidae.